CCUCCAAUUAGCUAGAAAACGCUAGAUAAAUUGGGUCUCAAAUCAGCCCAGUCGCCCACCGUUCGGCGGCUACCUCGCCGCACUCCAAUGCCCAGGACGCCGCCCCUUCAGCGGCCAGCGCGGCCGCCACCUGCACCCCCCCCCCCCCCCCCCCCCCCCCCCCCCCCCCCCCCCCCCCCCCCCCCCCCCCCCCCCCCCCCCCCCCCCCCCCCCCCCCCCCCUCCCACCCCCACCUCAACUCCCGUACGAUCUGCCGUUUCCUCGAUCUGCCUCGGCGCCGCUUCAUCGAUCUGCCUCGGUGCCGUUUGGAUCGUUGCGGCGACGGCUUCGUCGGUCUUCAGCUCCGGCACCUGCAUCCUGAAGGAGUGCGAUCUCGUGGCUGGUUUCAUCGGUUCUGGGAACCAAAUUGCCGAGGGGACUUCCACAACUUGUAUUGCUUGAUUUCCCUAUCCGAGACUACAAUCUUGUCCUAGGAUGGCGACGGACAUGUUGACCAUAUACCUGCACUAUGAAGUUACAAAUCAGGAAGCCAAAAUGUUACAAAGAUCCAUGAUGAGGCGUGAUGUCUUGUAUUAUGACUUAAUCUUGAUGAUCGAGGAAGUUGGCUUUCAGGCAAUUGACUUUCUGUACUAUGCGAAAAAACCCUGUCUAGGCAGCUCCUACUUAGUUCACAUUUAUGAUCAAGGUCUUGUGUUGAAAAUGUUGUCCGACCCUGAGAUUGUGAAAGCUGUCCAUCUGUAUGUGUCUAAGGAGAAGGUUGACGAUCAUAUUGCUCCGCCUAGUAAGCAAAUUCAUAUUGCUCCAUCUAACCAUCCGAAUGAGAGUGUUCUCUUACAACACGGUGGUGUCUCUGCUGAAGGGGCAGGGCAACUUACUAUGAGAAUGCCGCAAAGACCAUGAUGUCAACCAAUUACAAAUUCAACAGAAUUCAUCAUCAUCACAAGACCAUGUUAUUGAUUCUGUGCCAGAGGUGAGGGAAACCAGGGAUCUUACAGGUGAAUCUGUUUCAAGAACGAACCAGCAGGGGACUAGAACUGAACACCCACACCCAGCUCGCUCAAAAAGAAAGCGUACUUCUUCCAUCAAGGUAAAGAUUCACCAAGGAGCAUGGUUUACUGCACCCAAAUUCCCAACCCAAACCACAUUAUCAUGUCUGCUUGAAAAAUGGAUUUUGUUACAAUUUUUGCUCAAUCUACUGUAUGCAAGUAUAGGAUAAAUUUAACCAAGCAUGAGCAAGCGAGGUGAUCUUGGGCAUUAGACUUCAUUGCCGGGUCCAGUUUAUUUAAUUUUCUAGGGCACCUUACUGGGCUGACAUUAAAAAUAUCUCAUAUUGUUCAUGCAAAUUAUAUUAUCAUGUCGUUGAAUGCUAAUAUUGAUCAUAAUAUAGGCUGCUUCCAAAGUAGUUUUAAAGACUUCAACAUAUCCCAACAAGCGGAAUGUUGCGUAUGGUACUAUUCGGAGUACUAAUCCAAGAACUAAGGUUGGUGGUAUUGAGUUAGGUGCUGAAUUUGCCCUUGUGCGCAUAGAUCAACCUAUUCUUGAUAAUGAGGAGCUGGCAAGGGAAGUUUCUAAUUGCAAGACAAUUGGUGAGGCUUUCAAUUCAGGAUACUUAAUUGCCUGGCCUUCAGCUUUUAUUCGAGAGAAGGAUAGUUGAAUUGCAGCUGAAUUCUUGGAUCAAGAAGCAAAUAAAAUUGGAAGAUUUUAGCUACCAAUAGUUGUAGUUUACAUUGAUAGAUUUAUAAAUGUAAUAUCAUCAACAUGAUAUUUUUCUUCAUCGAAUUGAUGCAAAUGUAAUAUUCUCCAUAGUUGUGUUUUCUAUGCUCAAAAUGAUAUGACUGAUAUCUUUAUUGUAAUGCAUAUGUAUCAUACACUUGUAUAUUCAUAAUAAAUAUCUUCAUAUGAGUUUCUAUA
This is a non-coding RNA of Triticum urartu, 1911 nucleotides long. The record is from RefSeq and is a predicted model, not a curated record. NCBI's taxonomy places the organism in Eukaryota, Viridiplantae, Streptophyta, Magnoliopsida, Poales, Poaceae.